This 492-nucleotide ribosomal RNA is filed under the name uncultured bacterium. RNAcentral describes it as "partial 16S ribosomal RNA". It matches the Rfam family "Bacterial small subunit ribosomal RNA", at positions 29 to 507 of the family's 1533-position model. The record is from RNAcentral.
AGUGAACGCUGGCGGUAGGCCUAACACAUGCAAGUCGAACGACAGCACAGUAAGAGCUUUCUCUUACGGGUGACUAGCGGCUGACGGGUGAGGCAUACAGUGGAAUCUACUUUUCCGUGGGGGGGAACGUAGGGAAACUUACGCUAAUACCGCAUACGACCUACGGGGGAAUGCAGGCGAUCUUCGGACCUUGCGCUCUUUAAUGAGCCGAGGUCGGUAUAGCCAGUUGAAGGGGUAAAGGCCCACCAGGGCGGCGAACCGUAGCUGGUCUGAGAGGAUGAUCAGCGACACUGGAACUGAGAAACGGUCCAGACUCAUACGGGAGGCAGCUAUGGGGAGUAGUGGACAAUGGGCGUAAGCCAGAUACAGCCAUCUCGCGUGGGUGAAGAAGGCCUUCGGUUAGUAAAGCCCUUUUGUUGGGAAAGAAAAGCAGCACGUUAAAACCGCGAUGUUCUGACGGUAACCAAAGAAUAAGCACCGGCUAACUUCGUG